RNAcentral lists this ribosomal RNA (492 nucleotides) under uncultured bacterium. RNAcentral describes it as "partial 16S ribosomal RNA". It matches the Rfam family "Bacterial small subunit ribosomal RNA", at positions 29 to 507 of the family's 1533-position model. The record is from RNAcentral.
AGUGAACGCUGGCGGUAGGCCUAACACAUGCAAGUCGAACGGCAGCACAGUAAGAGCCUGCUCUUACGGGUGGCGAGUGGCGGACGGGUGAGGAAUACAUCGGAAUCUACUUUUUCGUGGGGGAUAACGUAGGGAAACUUACGCUAAUACCGCAUACGACCUACGGGUGAAAGCAGGGGAUCUUCGGACCUUGCGCGAUUGAAUGAGCCGAUGUCGGAUUAGCUAGUUGGCGGGGUAAAGGCCCACCAAGGCGACGAUCCGUUGCUGGUCUGAGAGGAUGAUCAGCCACACUGGAACUGAGACACGGUCCAGACUCCUACGGGAGGCAGCAGUGGGGAAUAUUGGACAAUGGGCGCAAGCCUGAUCCAGCCAUACUGCGUGGGUGAAGAAGGCCUUCGGGUUGUAAAGCCCUUUUGUUGGGAAAGAAAAGCAGCAGGUUAAUACCCCGCUGUUCUGACGGUACCCAAAGAAUAAGCACCGGCUAACUUCGUG